This 252-nucleotide non-coding RNA is filed under the name Lysinibacillus contaminans. RNAcentral describes it as "T-box sequence". It matches the Rfam family "T-box leader". From Rfam's summary of the family: Uncharged tRNA acts as the effector for transcription antitermination of genes in the T-box leader family. T-boxes are found upstream of many aminoacyl-tRNA synthetase genes and some amino acid biosynthetic genes usually in Gram-positive bacteria. The record is from RNAcentral. Lineage: Bacteria; Bacillati; Bacillota; Bacilli; Caryophanales; Bacillaceae.
UAAUCAGCCUUGAUGAAGAGUAGUAGCUAUUUGAAUUGUUAGAGAGAGCUAGCGGUUGGUGGAAGCUAGUACAAAGCGAUUAGUGAAUGGACUUCGGAGCUCUAGCCCUGAACCUAGCGAAAAUGGCCUUGGCGUUUAAACGUUAAAGAGCAUUGGAAAGUAGGGGUUAGCGUAAGCCUACGUUACAGGGUAUAGUUGAGUGGGUCUUGUAUAGACCAAUGAAGGUGGCACCACGGCUUUUCCGUCCUUUUU